Molecule: ribosomal RNA, 771 nt
Filed under: Pratylenchus sp. 106916
Lineage: Eukaryota; Metazoa; Nematoda; Chromadorea; Rhabditida; Pratylenchidae
Description: partial 28S ribosomal RNA
Rfam family: Eukaryotic large subunit ribosomal RNA
Source: RNAcentral
UACAAGUACCGUGGGGAAAGUUGCAAAGCACUUUGAAGAGAGAGUUAAAGAGGACGUGAAACCGAUGAGAUGGAAACGGAUAGAGUCAGCGUAUCUGGCUUGUAUUCAGCCAUCUGGCUAUCGGUGACUGGAUGUUGCUUUCCAGACUGGAACAGCGUUUUGCCACUCGGUGGCUAUGUGGUGCAUUUACAAGUGGAGUGCGUCGAGGCGCUCGGGGUGGCAAUGUGAACUAAGUUUUGAGGCCAGCUUGCUGGUACCCGGACUGUGGGAACGUUGUUCGUUCUGAGUGUAAGGCAAGGCAUACGGGCCCGGUUGGGUUCCGAGCUGGCAGUCGGUGGCGGUCGCAUGCGACACGUACUGUGCGGUUAGUUCGGUCCUAGCCGAGCUCACAAGCCGUUUCUCGGCGUAAAAGCUGGUCAUCUAUCCGACCCGUCUUGAAACACGGACCAAGGAGUUUAUCGUGUGCGCAAGUCAUUGGGCGUUCAAAACCCAAAGGCGCAAUGAAAGUGAAUGUAUCCGCAAGGAGCAGACGUGCGAUCCUGGGCAUCUCGGUGCCUGGGCGCAACAUGGCCCCAUCCCGAUUGCUUGCAAUGGGGUGGAGGAAGAGCGUACGCGGUGAGACCCGAAAGAUGGUGAACUAUUCCUGAGCAGGAUGAAGCCAGAGGAAACUCUGGUGGAAGUCCGAAGCGAUUCUGACGUGCAAAUCGAUCGUCUGACUUGGGUAUAGGGGCGAAAGACUAAUCGAACCAUCUAGUAGCUGGUUCCUUCCGA